Molecule: non-coding RNA, 75 nt
Organism: Potamilus streckersoni
Lineage: Eukaryota; Metazoa; Mollusca; Bivalvia; Unionida; Unionidae
Source: the annotation of a GenBank genome assembly
AGCUCCGGUGGCCUAGUGGUUAGAACGUCCGCUUCGGAUGCGGGUGGGUCGUGGGUUUUAUACCCGGUCGAGUCA